RNAcentral lists this ribosomal RNA (306 nucleotides) under Triticum aestivum (bread wheat). RNAcentral describes it as "partial small subunit ribosomal RNA". The record is from RNAcentral. Lineage: Eukaryota; Viridiplantae; Streptophyta; Magnoliopsida; Poales; Poaceae.
AUGAAAGCAACAUGGAACUCUGCUCAAGAAGUGGUUUGGAGAAGGAUUAACUCAAAUUUGUUCUCAAUUCAAUCCAAUUGUUUAGGGGACUGGAAUAAGGCUAUGCAUCAAGGGCCAUGGGAUUUCCGUGGAGUUGCUUUGAUUUUGACCGAGUAUGAUGGAUUCUCAAAUCCGGAGAAAGUAAGUUUGGAUAGGCUGGAAACCGUGUGUCAAAUCCAUAAACUACCAUUUUCACUACUUUUGGCCACAGGCGAGAUAGAGUUUUUUCUUGAAAUUGAGUUCGGACCGAUUACUCAUAGAAAAUGA